GCGACGAGGUGGAGGUUGGGUGAGGACGACACGUGUUGCAGGGUGAGAAAAAGUCGUAUAAAAUGAGAGAGAAAAGGCGUUGUUGGAAAUCAGUUGAGAGAGCAUCUCCGACACGGCAACAACUGCUGUACACUAUUUGUGACCAAUUGCAUUCUUCAAUGCAGUUAGUUCGCAUUCAUGAAUUAUUAAUUAUCUAGUAAUCUAUGGCGUCCUGCUGUUGGGUGUUGAAUCGUUGAUGGUUGGGUCGACCACUGGUGUACCGAUGUCUCCUGGGUAUGGUGGAUAUCAAAGCACAACAUUACUCAACAUCAACCAACAUCGCUGCUGACGGUGCUCCAGCUUACUACACCAAGGCUCCAAAGUACUACACCACCAAUACUUCAGAGUGUUACAAGUUGCAUCAAAGAAGAGAAAAGGCGAAAUGAGUGAUUAUCUCCGACGCGUCAACAACUGCUGUGCACUAUUUGUCACUAAAUCGCAAUCGUGAUUGCGUCAAAGAAGAGAAAAGGCGAAAUAAUCAGUCGAGUGAUUAUCUCCGACACGACAACAACUUCCGUGCACUAUUUGUUAUCAACUGCCUUCUUCAUCGUCAUUUAUAUGGCAAACUGUGGCGUCGGUUGUCCUGAAAUACUACAUCACCGAGGCUUCAAAGUAUUACGCUACAACUUAUGCUCCCCCGAGCUGCAUAACCAAAGAGCCCGAGUACUGCAUCGUGAUUCCAUUCGUUUUAAGCCAUAACCAUUUGGUAUAAUAGCCGCAGGGCUUAAGAGGUUAGGGUGAGAAAAAGUCGUAUAAAAGGAGAGAGAAAAGGCGUUUGAAAUCAGUUGAGUGAGCAUCUCCGACACGUCAACAACUGCUGUCCACUAUUUGUCACCAACUACCUUCUUCAUCGCAUUACCAGUUCGCAAACAUAGUUUAGAUAACUAUGGCGCCGUGCUGCUGUUUGGUGUUGGAUCGUUAAUGUUUGGGUCGACCACGGGUGUACAGAAGUCUCCUGGACAUGAUGGAUACCAAGCAACAGCAGCGAAAGAA
Daphnia pulex (common water flea) is the source of this 1032-nucleotide long non-coding RNA. RefSeq lists it as uncharacterized. The record is from RefSeq and is a predicted model, not a curated record. The transcript has 6 exons. NCBI's taxonomy places the organism in Eukaryota, Metazoa, Arthropoda, Branchiopoda, Diplostraca, Daphniidae.